GACGAACGCUGGCGGCGUGCUUAACACAUGUAAGUCGAACGGUAAGGCCCUUCGGGGUACACGAGUGGCGAACGGGUGAGUAACACGUGGGUGAUCUGCCCUGCACUUCGGGAUAAGCCUGGGAAACUGGGUCUAAUACCGGAUAGGACCACUGCCUGCAUGGGUGGUGGUGGAAAGCUUUUGCGGUGUGGGAUGGGCCCGCGGCCUAUCAGCUUGUUGGUGGGGUGAUGGCCUACCAAGGCGACGACGGGUAGCCGGCCUGGGAGGGUGACCGGCCACACUGGGACUGAGAUACGGCCCAGACUCCUACGGGAGGCAGCAGUGGGGAAUAUUGCCAAAUGGGCGCAAGCCUGAUGCAGCGACGCCGCGUGAGGGAUGACGGCCUUCGGGUUGUAAACCUCUUUCAGCACCGACGAAGCGCAAGUGACGGUAGGUGCAGAAGAAGGACCGGCCAACUACGUGCCAGCCGCCGCCGUGA
Molecule: ribosomal RNA, 478 nt
Filed under: uncultured bacterium
Lineage: Bacteria
Description: partial 16S ribosomal RNA
Rfam family: Bacterial small subunit ribosomal RNA
Source: RNAcentral